CUCUGCCCUCUAGGACAUUGCCUUCUGAGAGGACACUGAGUCUAAACUAUGGAAGAGUAAUCUGAUCAGAGUGCUAUAUACUAUACAAGACUUCUUAGAAAGAGAGGCUUGUGGUGAUCCACCAAGAUUUGACACUAUGAGGCUCCAGGGUGCACCUAAACCCAAUUAUCGUCCUGGGGAAUGUGUACAAUAUGAGUGUCGUCUAGGUUUCAAGCCCAAGGUUCCUACUCUCCCGAGAUCUGCUGUUUGUCAAGAUAAUAAUACAUGGUCAUCUCUCCAGGAUGCCUGUGUAGAAAAAUCAUGUCCUAAUGUAGGAGAUCCUGUGAAUGGCCAAGUCAACUUCGUGAAUGGAAGUGCUCUGUUUGGUUCACAGGUUCACUUUACUUGUAA
Non-coding RNA from Odocoileus virginianus texanus, 390 nucleotides. The record is from RefSeq and is a predicted model, not a curated record. NCBI's taxonomy places the organism in Eukaryota, Metazoa, Chordata, Mammalia, Artiodactyla, Cervidae.